GUGUUCGCUUCAGCAGCACAUAUACUAAAAUUGGAACGAUACAGAGAAGAUUAGCAUAGCCCCUGUGCAAGGAUGACAUGCAAAUUCGUGAAGUGUUCCAUAUUAAA
Molecule: small nuclear RNA, 107 nt
Filed under: Sciurus vulgaris (Eurasian red squirrel)
Lineage: Eukaryota; Metazoa; Chordata; Mammalia; Rodentia; Sciuridae
Source: RNAcentral